This 112-nucleotide ribosomal RNA is filed under the name Acanthosepion pharaonis. The record is from RNAcentral. Lineage: Eukaryota; Metazoa; Mollusca; Cephalopoda; Sepiida; Sepiidae.
UACAGCCACAUCACGUUGAAGCACCGGUUCCGUAUGAUCAUCAAAGUUAAGCAAGGUCGAGCCUGAUCAGUACCUAGAUGGGUGACCGUUUGGUAAUACCAGGUACAGCAAG